AUGCCCAGUCACCUCUGUUCUCUCUCGACUUCGACGACGGCUCGGGUAGCUAGUGCUCGUAGCCAGUGUCUGAAGUUCAGCUAUAUGUGUUUCACCUCCGAUCAGUGCUCCAUGCUCCCCACCGGCGCACCCCGUCGCCGUCGCCGUCCAUCGAGCCACCUGGCCACCACUUGCAGAAGGAGGAGUCCUCGGCCUGCAGCUAGAGGAGGUCUCGACCUGCAUCUACAGAUGGAUGGCAGCGGGAGGUUACUCCUUCAGGCUGUAUUCGACAGGUCGGAGCGUUGCUGCCCAUCUACGCUCCCGCGUGCCCGUUCUCCCAUCAAUAUCUAUUUUUGCUCUCUUGCGUGUGAAACCAAUAUUUCCUCUACCAACUGA
RNAcentral lists this ribosomal RNA (375 nucleotides) under Triticum aestivum (bread wheat). RNAcentral's name for it is "partial small subunit ribosomal RNA". The record is from RNAcentral. Lineage: Eukaryota; Viridiplantae; Streptophyta; Magnoliopsida; Poales; Poaceae.